GCGUUCGUCCUGUGCGGUAGCGGUAACGCCCGCAAAAUUAAUCCCUAAGAUUGUUUGACAGCAGGUAACGAACGCUU
RNAcentral lists this non-coding RNA (77 nucleotides) under unclassified sequences. The record is from RNAcentral.